Pogoniulus pusillus (Red-fronted tinkerbird) is the source of this 1075-nucleotide long non-coding RNA. RefSeq lists it as uncharacterized. The transcript has 2 exons. The record is from RefSeq and is a predicted model, not a curated record. Lineage: Eukaryota; Metazoa; Chordata; Aves; Piciformes; Lybiidae.
CCCAGGUGAUCCCUGGGCUGUGGUAAAGAUGGGAUCCCUCUGUGUCCAGGAGCAUCCUGGAGCUCGGGCGGGGUCCUCAGGGCACCGCUGACCCCACACUUCUUGUCCUUCCCAGGUCCCUUUCCUCCCGCUCCUGCCAGUUGUCAGCAUUUUCGUUAACGUCUUGCUGAUGGUGCAGCUGAGUGCUGGCACCUGGGUACGAUUUGCCGUCUGGAUGGCCGUGGGUUUUACCAUUUACUUUGCCUAUGGGAUCCGGAACAGCGUGGAAGGGAAGACCGUGGAGGAGCCCUGCGGGCCGGCAGAAAAGCCUCUGCACCGCCCGGGACUGGACCCUAGCCCUGGGGCUGCUGCAGUCUGAGGCACUCGGCAGUGGCACUCUGUGGACCUCUGCCAGCAUCCCCGCCGGGUACCAGGCCAUGAUCUGCACCGUCCCUGCAUCCCCUCUCGCACAGGUUGGGGGUCUCAGGGUCAGGACUGCAGAGCUGGGCUGUGUGCUGCCCCUUCCCCUGGCAGAGCAGAGGUCAUGGAGAUGAGUCCAUGGGCUGGGUAGGAGCCUCGGUCUCUGCCACCCCGCAGCCCUGCCGAGGGGCAGUGGCACUGGCACAGCCCUGCCGCUGUGCCAGCUGCUGCCAGAAAUGCUGCUUUCCCUGCGCAGGGGAGGCCCCAUGUGAGGGUGCAGCUGUGCCCAUCCUGUCUGUCCAUGUGUCUGUGGUGGCCACCUCCCCUCUGCACUUCCUAAGUGCCAGGGGUGGAGGGGCAGCCAUGAGUGCAGCCAUGGACAAGGCUGGAGGCAGCUUGUUCUGGUACCACCAGCAGCCCGGUACUGCCUGGCAAGAGGGGGCUCAAGCAGCCAAACCCUUCCUCUGUGCCCAGGGUUUGCAGCUGGCUGAGCCCCGCACUGCCUUGGCCAUGCUGCUUGGUGUGAGCAUCGAGCUCAGGUGCCUAUGAAGAUGCCCACAGUGCAGCUGUGCCCGUGUCCAGCCUUUGCAUAGUUGGUGUUUACUGUCUUUGUAGAAUUGCUGGUGUCUUCGUGGUGACUUUUAUACCUACGAACUAAAUGGGGUUUAAGUGCUUG